CUGGCGGCGUGCUUAACACAUGCAAGUCGAACGAAGCUCUUCUAACAGAUCCUCGGGUGAAGAUAGAAGAUGACUGAGUGGCGGACGGGUGAGUAACGACGUGGGAAACCUGCCCUAUGCAGGGGGAUAACAGUUGGAAACGACUGCUAAUACCGCAUAAGCGCACAGCAUCGCAUGGUGCAGUGUGAAAAGCCUUUACGGCAUAGGAUGGUCCCGCGUCUGAUUAGCUAGUUGGUGAGGUAACGGCCCACCAAGGCGACGAUCAGUAGCCGACCUGAGAGGGUGACCGGCCACAUUGGGACUGAGACACGGCCCAAACUCCUACGGGAGGCAGCAGUGGGGAAUAUUGCACAAUGGGCGAAAGCCUGAUGCGGCGAACCGCCGCGUGAGUGAUGAAGUAUCUCGGUAUGUAAAGCUCUAUCAGCAGGGAAGAUAAUGACGGUACCUGACUAAGAAGCACCGGCUAAAUACGUGCCAGCCGCGGC
This 485-nucleotide ribosomal RNA is filed under the name uncultured bacterium. RNAcentral's name for it is "bacterial SSU rRNA". It matches the Rfam family "Bacterial small subunit ribosomal RNA", at positions 36 to 518 of the family's 1533-position model. The record is from RNAcentral.